GAUGAAGAACGUAGCGAAAUGCGAUAAGUAAUGUGAAUUGCAGAAUUCAGUGAAUCAUCGUAUCUUUGAACGCACAUUGCGCCCAUUAGUAUUCUAGUGGGCAUGCCUGUUCGAGCGUCAUUAAGUCCACUUAAGCCCUGCUUAGUGUUGGGAGACUGCUCCAGCGGUGCUACCCUGUAGCUACCCUGCAGCUCCUCAAAGACAGCGGCGGAGUUGUGGUAUCCUCUGAGCUUAGUAACUUGUUCUAGCUUUCGAGUACACCACUUCCCCUGCCGUAAAACCCUUAAUUUUUAAUGGUUGACCUCGGAUCAGGUAGGAAUACCCGCUGAACUUAAGCAUAUCAAUAAGCGGAGGA
This 355-nucleotide unclassified non-coding RNA is filed under the name soil metagenome. RNAcentral's name for it is "partial contains 5.8S ribosomal RNA, internal transcribed spacer 2, and large subunit ribosomal RNA". The stretch from base 1 to 120 matches the Rfam family "5.8S ribosomal RNA", at positions 35 to 154 of the family's 154-position model. The record is from RNAcentral.